CAAGACGUAGCUUAAUUUAAAGCAUCUCGCUUACACCGAGAAAAUAUAUGUUAGACCCUAAUCGUCUUGA
RNAcentral lists this transfer RNA (70 nucleotides) under Scinax pixinguinha. RNAcentral describes it as "tRNA-Val". It matches the Rfam family "tRNA". From Rfam's summary of the family: Transfer RNA (tRNA) molecules are approximately 80 nucleotides in length. Their secondary structure includes four short double-helical elements and three loops (D, anti-codon, and T loops). The record is from RNAcentral. Lineage: Eukaryota; Metazoa; Chordata; Amphibia; Anura; Hylidae.